GUGGGUGAAAGCCUGCUGUGGCACCCUCUCACACUCCCUGAAGGGCACCUUUCAUCUGGAGAGUAAAGAGAGUGCCUCCCCCCAGAACCGAGAAAGUGGCCGAGCAGCUUGGAUCUCCUCCAGCAUAUUCAGGCCAAAAAACGGUGCAGUGUCCCAGUGUUCAUUGAGGAAACCAAAUGCGCACACACAGCAGCACCCAGGCGACCCGCCUCCGAGGCCGGGUCUGCAGGUGCAAGCUCCAAUUAGAGCAGCCGGCUUCCAAUACCUUUUCAUCCGGAACAACGGCUGGGACUCAGCCCCCGCCAGGGACUGAGGAAAACCCCGGAAGGACUGCCGACCAGCCCAGGGAAAACAAAGACCGUCCAAAUAAAAGCAGAUCCUAGAAGGCUAGAAAGGUGGAGAAGCUGAUACAGAGCUUUAAGUUUCCUCUAUAAUCAAGCCAGCUUGCUCCACAGAAGUGCUUCAGGGGAAGACGGAUUUCUCUGCAGACAAGUCACCUCCUGAUGGGCUCUCAGGGCUGCUGGGCCACCACCCCCCUCAGUUAGGAGCUGCUUCCUCCCCUUCCUGACAGUCUUUCUUGUUUUUAAUAUCUAAAUCUCCAAACAAGUGCCAACAAUUAGAAAGG
RNAcentral lists this long non-coding RNA (625 nucleotides) under Equus asinus (donkey). RNAcentral describes it as "lncRNA (ENSEASG00005025385.1)". Lineage: Eukaryota; Metazoa; Chordata; Mammalia; Perissodactyla; Equidae. The record is from RNAcentral.